Molecule: ribosomal RNA, 658 nt
Filed under: Clausocalanus arcuicornis
Lineage: Eukaryota; Metazoa; Arthropoda; Copepoda; Calanoida; Clausocalanidae
Description: eukaryotic LSU rRNA
Rfam family: Eukaryotic large subunit ribosomal RNA
Source: RNAcentral
UGGCGAUGACCGGGACAGCCCAUCGCGUAACUGCAGGUCAUCUUGGCCUCGCGGAAUGUCGCGUUUGGGAGAGUCUCAUCGGGAGCCGGACGGCCAGUCAAAGUCCAACUUGACAGUGGCCACUGCCCAUAGAGGGUGAUAGGCCCGUAAGGCGGCCGUCCGUUUCCGCCGACUUUUCCCUAGAGUCGGGUUGCUUGGGAGUGCAGCCCAAAGUGCGAGGUAAACUCCUCGUAAGGCUAAAUACGACCCCGAGACCGAUAGCAAACAAGUACCGUGAGGGAAAAUUGAAAAGAACUUUGAAGAGAGAGUUCAAGAGUACGUGAAACUGUGUGGUGGUAAACGGAGGGGUUCUCGAAGUCUCUGUGGGGAACUCAGCCUCGGUGUCGGGCGGUCAGGGUGUGUCCGAUCAGCAAUGACGGCGCUCUCUGUCUGGCUUGGCUCCUGGGUGCAUUUUCUCCGCAGUUUACGGCAGGAACCGUUUGGCUCGGAUCGAAGGCCCUGGGUGAAGUUGUCGGUUCUGCUGGCAGCCCCGGGUGUCCUGGCUCCGCGCCCGACGGGUACGUGAGAGGACUCGUAUAGCGAGCAACGCUCUGUUGCGGUUCUCAUCUCUCUGCCGAGUAGGUCGGCGGCCCCUCCGACCCGUCUUGAAACACGGACC